UACGAGGGGGGCAAGCGUUGUUCGGAAUUAUUGGGCGUAAAGGGCGCGUAGGCGGCGCGGUAUGUCUCUUGUGAAAUCUCCAGGCUCAACUUGGAGUCUGCAAGGGAAACUGCCGUGCUUGAGUACUGGAGAGGUGAGUGGAAUUCCCGGUGUAGCGGUGAAAUGCGUAGAUAUCAGGAGGAACACCGGUGGUGUAGACGGCUUUCUGGACCAUAACUGACGCUGAGGAGCGAAAGCGUGGGGAUCAAACAGG
Molecule: ribosomal RNA, 253 nt
Filed under: uncultured bacterium
Lineage: Bacteria
Description: partial 16S ribosomal RNA
Rfam family: Bacterial small subunit ribosomal RNA
Source: RNAcentral